RNAcentral lists this ribosomal RNA (841 nucleotides) under uncultured bacterium. RNAcentral describes it as "bacterial SSU rRNA". It matches the Rfam family "Bacterial small subunit ribosomal RNA", at positions 21 to 855 of the family's 1533-position model. The record is from RNAcentral.
GGCUCAGAUUGAACGCUGGCGGAAUGCUUUACACAUGCAAGUCGAACGGCAGCACGGGUGCUUGCACNGGUGGCGAGUGGCGAACGGGUGAGUAAUGCGUCGGAACGUACCGAGUAAUGGGGGAUAACGCAGCGAAAGUUGUGCUAAUACCGCAUACGCCCUGAGGGGGAAAGUGGGGGACCGCAAGGCCUCACGUUAUUCGAGCGGCCGACGUCAGAUUAGCUAGUUGGUGGGGUAAAGGCCUACCAAGGCGACGAUCAGUAGCGGGUCUGAGAGGAUGAUCCGCCACACUGGGACUGAGACACGGCCCAGACUCCUACGGGAGGCAGCAGUGGGGAAUUUUGGACAAUGGGGGCAACCCUGAUCCAGCCAUUCCGCGUGAGUGAAGAAGGCCUUCGGGUUGUAAAGCUCUUUCAGCUGGAACGAAACGGUACGCGCUAACAUCGUGUGCUAAUGACGGUACCGGCAGAAGAAGCACCGGCUAACUACGUGCCAGCAGCCGCGGUAAUACGUAGGGUGCGAGCGUUAAUCGGAAUUACUGGGCGUAAAGCGUGCGCAGGCGGAUUGUUAAGCAAGACGUGAAAUCCCCGGGCUUAACCUGGGAAUGGCGUUUUGAACUGGCAGUCUAGAGUGCGUCAGAGGGGGGUGGAAUUCCACGUGUAGCAGUGAAAUGCGUAGAGAUGUGGAGGAACACCGAUGGCGAAGGCAGCCCCCUGGGAUGACACUGACGCUCAUGUACGAAAGCGUGGGUAGCAAACAGGAUUAGAUACCCUGGUAGUCCACGCCCUAAACGAUGUCAACUGGUUGUUGGGGGAGUGAAAUCCCUUAGUAACGAAGCUAA